RNAcentral lists this ribosomal RNA (235 nucleotides) under uncultured Pseudomonadales bacterium. RNAcentral describes it as "partial 16S ribosomal RNA". It matches the Rfam family "Bacterial small subunit ribosomal RNA", at positions 96 to 334 of the family's 1533-position model. Lineage: Bacteria; Pseudomonadati; Pseudomonadota; Gammaproteobacteria; Pseudomonadales. The record is from RNAcentral.
CGGCGGACGGGUGAGUAAUACCUAGGAAUCUGCCUGAUAGUGGGGGAUAACGUUCGGAAACGGACGCUAAUACCGCAUACGUCCUACGGGAGAAAGCAGGGGACCUUCGGGCCUUGCGCUAUCAGAUGAGCCUAGGUCGGAUUAGCUAGUUGGUGAGGUAAUGGCUCACCAAGGCUACGAUCCGUAACUGGUCUGAGAGGAUGAUCAGUCACACUGGAACUGAGACACGGUCCAG